Molecule: transfer RNA, 71 nt
Filed under: Draco biaro
Lineage: Eukaryota; Metazoa; Chordata; Lepidosauria; Squamata; Agamidae
Also listed under: 2 other names
Description: tRNA-Trp
Rfam family: tRNA
About the family: Transfer RNA (tRNA) molecules are approximately 80 nucleotides in length.
Source: RNAcentral
AGGCUUAGGUUCAAGCUAAACCAAUGGCCUUCAAAGCCUUGAAUAAGAGUUAAACCUCUUAGCCUCUGACU